RNAcentral lists this non-coding RNA (28 nucleotides) under Bombyx mori (domestic silkworm). Lineage: Eukaryota; Metazoa; Arthropoda; Insecta; Lepidoptera; Bombycidae. The record is from RNAcentral.
UUGAAUAAGUGACUCUCGAAUUGACGAC